CCCUCCCUCUGUCGGCAUGCCUAACACAUGCAAGUCGAACGAGACCUUCGGGUCUAGUGGCGCACGGGUGCGUAACGCGUGGGAACCUGCCCUUAGGUUCGGAAUAACUCCCCGAAAGGGGUGCUAAUACCGGAUAAUGUCUUCGGACCAAAGAUUUAUCGCCUUUGGAUGGGCCCGCGUUGGAUUAGCUAGUUGGUAGGGUAAAAGCCUACCAAGGCGACGAUCCAUAGCUGGUCUGAGAGGAUGAUCAGCCACACUGGGACUGAGACACGGCCCAGACUCCUACGGGAGGCAGCAGUGGGGAAUAGUGGACAAUGGGCGAAAGCAUGAUGCAGCAAUGCCGCGUGAGUGAUGAAGGCAUUAGGGUUGUAAAGCUCUUUUACCCGGGAUGAUAAUGACAGUACCGGGAGAAUAAGCUCCGGCUAACUCCGUG
This 433-nucleotide ribosomal RNA is filed under the name uncultured bacterium. Its description in RNAcentral is "partial 16S ribosomal RNA". It matches the Rfam family "Bacterial small subunit ribosomal RNA", at positions 36 to 507 of the family's 1533-position model. The record is from RNAcentral.